CCCGCACAAGCGGUGGAGUAUGUGGUUUAAUUCGAUGCAACGCGAAGAACCUUACCUGGUCUUGACAUCCCGGAGACCCUUAGGAAACUAGGGGGUGCUUCCAUCUGGAAGAAUCUGGAGACAGGUGCUGCAUGGCUGUCGUCAGCUCGUGUCGUGAGAUGUUGGGUUAAGUCCCGCAACGAGCGCAACCCUUGCCUUUAGUUGCCAGCAGUUCGGCUGGGCACUCUAAAGGGACUGCCGGUGUUAAACCGGAGGAAGGUGGGGAUGACGUCAAGUCCUCAUGGCCUUUAUGACCAGGGCUACACACGUACUACAAUGGCCGAUACAAAGGGCAGCGACACUGCGAGGUGAAGCCAAUCCCGUAAAAUCGGUCUCAGUCCGGAUUGGAGUCUGCAACUCGACUCCAUGAAGUUGGAUUCGCUAGUAAUCGCGCAUCAGCCAUGGCGCGGUGAAUACGUUCCCGGGCCUU
This 469-nucleotide ribosomal RNA is filed under the name uncultured Desulfobulbus sp. RNAcentral describes it as "bacterial SSU rRNA". It matches the Rfam family "Bacterial small subunit ribosomal RNA", at positions 920 to 1382 of the family's 1533-position model. The record is from RNAcentral. Lineage: Bacteria; Pseudomonadati; Thermodesulfobacteriota; Desulfobulbia; Desulfobulbales; Desulfobulbaceae.